GUUAUAUGGUCAAGUGAAGAAGCGCAUACGGUGGAUGCCUUGGCAGUCAGAGGCGAUGAAAGACGUGGUAGCCUGCGAUAAGCUUCGGGGAGUCGGCAAACAGACUUUGAUCCGGAGAUCUCUGAAUGGGGAAACCCACCUAGCAUAAGUUAGGUAUCUUGCACUGAAUACAUAGGUGUAAGAGGCGAACCAGGGGAACUGAAACAUCUAAGUACCCUGAGGAAAAGAAAUCAACCGAGAUUCCCUUAGUAGUGGCGAGCGAACGGGGAUUAGCCCUUA
This 279-nucleotide ribosomal RNA is filed under the name Pseudomonas sp. PDM22. Its description in RNAcentral is "partial 23S ribosomal RNA". It matches the Rfam family "Bacterial large subunit ribosomal RNA", at positions 1 to 273 of the family's 2925-position model. The record is from RNAcentral. Lineage: Bacteria; Pseudomonadati; Pseudomonadota; Gammaproteobacteria; Pseudomonadales; Pseudomonadaceae.